CACGUAGGUGGCGAGCGUUGUCCGGAUUUACUGGGCGUAAAGGGAGCGUAGGCGGAUUUUUAAGUGAGAUGUGAAAUACUCGGGCUCAACUUGAGUGCUGCAUUUCAAACUGGAAGUCUAGAGUGCAGGAGAGGAGAAUGGAAUUCCUAGUGUAGCGGUGAAAUGCGUAGAGAUUAGGAAGAACACCAGUGGCGAAGGCGGUUCUCUGGACUGUAACUGACGCUGAGGCUCGAAAGCGUGGGGAGCAAACAGG
RNAcentral lists this ribosomal RNA (253 nucleotides) under uncultured bacterium. Its description in RNAcentral is "partial 16S ribosomal RNA". It matches the Rfam family "Bacterial small subunit ribosomal RNA", at positions 524 to 776 of the family's 1533-position model. The record is from RNAcentral.